GCAAGUCGAACGAGAAAGCUUCCUUCGGGAAGUGAGUAGAGUGGCGCACGGGUGAGUAACGCGUAGGUAAUCUACCCUAAUAUCUGGGAUAACAUCGGGAAACUGGUGCUAAUACUGGAUACCCUUCAUAACUGCCGGGUUAUGUAGGAAAGGUGGCCUCUUCAUGAAAGCUACCGUAUAAGGAUGAGCCUGCGUACCUUUAGCUAGUAGGUGGGGUAACGGCCCACCUAGGCAACGAUGGUUAGCGGGUCUGAGAGGAUGAUC
Molecule: ribosomal RNA, 264 nt
Filed under: uncultured bacterium
Lineage: Bacteria
Description: partial 16S ribosomal RNA
Rfam family: Bacterial small subunit ribosomal RNA
Source: RNAcentral